CCUACGGGAGGCAGCAGUGGGGAAUAUUGGGCAAUGGGCGCAAGCCUGACCCAGCAACGCCGCGUGAAGGAAGAAGGCUUUCGGGUUGUAAACUUCUUUUUAGAGGGAAGAGCAGAAGACGGUACCUCUUGAAUAAGCCACGGCUAACUACGUGCCAGCAGCCGCGGUAAUACGUAGGUGGCAAGCGUUGUCCGGAUUUACUGGGUGUAAAGGGCGUGCAGCCGGGAAGACAAGUCAGAUGUGAAAUCCCGCGGCUCAACCGCGGCACUGCAUUUGAAACUGUUUUUCUUGAGUACCGGAGAGGUCAUCGGAAUUCGUUGUGUAGCGGUGAAAUGCGUAGAUAUAAGGAAGAACACCAGUGGCGAAGGCGAAUGACUGGACGGCAACUGACGGUGAGGCGCGAAAGCGUGGGGAGCGAACAGGAUUAGAUACCCGUGUAGUC
This 442-nucleotide ribosomal RNA is filed under the name uncultured bacterium. RNAcentral's name for it is "partial 16S ribosomal RNA". It matches the Rfam family "Bacterial small subunit ribosomal RNA", at positions 338 to 795 of the family's 1533-position model. The record is from RNAcentral.